CAAUCGCCGACUGGAGAGUCAUCACCUCGCGUGAUGCGCCGAAGGAGCAAAUCCGUUGCGACAGCGCAGCGGGUGAAUCUCUCAGGCACCAAGGACAGGGGGAGCGGC
Non-coding RNA from Variovorax sp. WDL1, 108 nucleotides. Lineage: Bacteria; Pseudomonadati; Pseudomonadota; Betaproteobacteria; Burkholderiales; Comamonadaceae. The record is from Rfam.